Molecule: long non-coding RNA, 401 nt
Filed under: Ananas comosus (pineapple)
Lineage: Eukaryota; Viridiplantae; Streptophyta; Magnoliopsida; Poales; Bromeliaceae
Description: long non-coding RNA (ACOM_LNC042846)
Source: RNAcentral
UGGGUUGAUCGUCACGCCGCUGAUUUCGCGCUUUCUUUCUCUAUAAUUAUCCACACAAGAUGAAUUUAACUUCCCCUACUUGAUUGAGUGCUUUAAUGCAGGAUUCCAUGAAGCACAUCUCUUUUGCAUUCUUAUUUCUAUCUACUUUGUGUAAUGUUUUAUUUUCUUUAUGCUUCUCUAAGUUUGUGUGUUACAUAUUCUUUUUGCCUUUUCCUUUGGUUAGUUGAAAAGAAAGGCAACUUUUGAGUUGUGUGUAAGUUUUUGAGCCUGAAACAUGGGGUAGGCAAAUAGGCAUUGCUUUGCAAUUAUUUGCAAUUAUGGCCUUGUUUUCUCAAGGUGUUUGGUUCUUUUGAAAAAUAUUUCAGAAAAUAGUUUCCUACUGAAAAAGUAUUAUUUUUUUU